Sinocyclocheilus rhinocerous is the source of this 204-nucleotide long non-coding RNA. RefSeq lists it as uncharacterized. The record is from RefSeq and is a predicted model, not a curated record. The transcript has 2 exons. Lineage: Eukaryota; Metazoa; Chordata; Actinopteri; Cypriniformes; Cyprinidae.
UGAUCAUUUUUCUUCCAGGAGCGAGAACGGCAGAAGUGGGACGCAUUGAACAAGAAAAUAGAACAAGAGAAUGAACGAAAGAAAAAGAUUGAGGAGGAGAGACGAAAGAAACAGGAAGAAAUGAAAAGGAAGCGGGACGAGCGUUUGAAACGGGUUGUUGAGGCUCGAGUGAAAGGUGAAAAGGAGAAGGAGCAGGAAAAGAAA